UAACAUCUUUUUGUAACAUAAGUUCCAAAUUGUUUAAACUUUUUUCAACAUGAACUAUGCCUAUGCUAUGUCCGACUGCGACAUUGUUCAAUUCAUCCCAUUUGUUUGAAAUGUACACAUUAGACAAAAUAUUUUAUGACAAGGAUAGGCCGAUGCUGGCAACAAAACAAAA
Alosa sapidissima (American shad) is the source of this 172-nucleotide long non-coding RNA. RefSeq lists it as uncharacterized. The record is from RefSeq and is a predicted model, not a curated record. The transcript is spliced from 3 exons. Lineage: Eukaryota; Metazoa; Chordata; Actinopteri; Clupeiformes; Clupeidae.